RNAcentral lists this microRNA (23 nucleotides) under Capitella teleta. Its description in RNAcentral is "Cte-Mir-76_5p* (star (passenger))". Lineage: Eukaryota; Metazoa; Annelida; Polychaeta; Capitellidae. The record is from RNAcentral.
UCGGGUUUCGCGGUAUUCGAACA